This 923-nucleotide long non-coding RNA is filed under the name Gossypium barbadense (sea-island cotton). RNAcentral describes it as "long non-coding RNA (GBAR_LNC014113)". Lineage: Eukaryota; Viridiplantae; Streptophyta; Magnoliopsida; Malvales; Malvaceae. The record is from RNAcentral.
AAAAACCAAAAAAACCUCUGAAAAGCUCUCCCCUCCCCUGCUUGUCCGGCCACCGGCCGAGCAUCGGUCACCACGCCGGCCGCUGAUCGCCGGUGCCGGCACCGCCGUGUGCGGUGGCCAGAAAAGGGGAAAAUCUCCGAUUUGGCCCUCUCGAUCCUUCCAAGCCCAGAUCUGGGUUCAAACUUUCCAAAAAACCAAUCAAAAAUGCAAAGUGAUCCCGAAACCCCUUCGAUUUUCGGCCACCAAUCCUCGGGGGUGGCUCCCUCAACCGACCAUGGCGAUUCUGACUCGAAGGUAGUUUCUUUUCCCUUCUUUUAUCUUAUAUUAUUCGCUUAUAUAAAGUAAAAAAUAAAUAUGACAAUAUAAAAAACCUAUUGUGAAUGUCAACCUUUUCGAUUGAUUUGCUCUCUAUCUUGAAUUCUGUUGAAAGUAAUUGCUUUUCUUUUAUUGAUUUCUCCCCCAAAAAUUUUCCUUUUUUACAGUAAAUCAAUGGCCUUUUAUAGCCAUUUAAAAAAUAAAACAAUAAAGAAACGAAUCUCCUGUAUUUGAUUCGAAAUCUUUGAUUUCAUUUCCUUUUUGGUUGUUUCUUACAGGUGAAGGCGCGGAGAUUCAGGCUUGGCUGUGACACAAACAGGCUAGGUGGCUGCGGCACGGAUGAUUAGAAACCCUAGGGUUUCUGACGUUUUUUGGGCCACCGCAAUUUGGGCCUAUUUUUUGUUGGGCCACUAUUUUAUCUUAUUAAUUGGGCCACUACAAUUAGGGUCUUUUAGACCCGGGUAAAAUUUGACAUGUACACACCCAAUAUGAUCAUAUUUUAUCUGAAGAUAACCAUUAUGUCUUCCUUCAUGAAAAAUUCAAUUACUAAUAAAUAGUAUUUGAACCAUUCAUCCCAAACAAAUGACACAUGGACACGUUACUUUUCC